RNAcentral lists this long non-coding RNA (795 nucleotides) under Carica papaya (papaya). RNAcentral's name for it is "long non-coding RNA (CPAP_LNC014793)". Lineage: Eukaryota; Viridiplantae; Streptophyta; Magnoliopsida; Brassicales; Caricaceae. The record is from RNAcentral.
UUUUGUUUACCUUUUGUUUCAUAUUUAUUUAUGUUGAUGUCAAUAAGUGAAAAGAAUUAAAAUCAUCAAGUUGGUUCCCAAACCAAAAUAGGCAUAGCAUUAUGCAAUGGACAAAGGUUCGUUUAAGUUACUAUAAAUAAUUAAUUAAUAGAUUUCUUGUUUUAAAAAAAUUGUAAGUUCAAUUCGGUCUGUAUUAUUACAUGUAUUUUUAUUCGAGUCAUCCAUCAGAACCUCUUGUUCAAGCACUUGGACUCCUUCAUCCCGAUUGCCGUUGCUCCUAAAAGUAUAACAUUUAAACGCCUCCGCCAUGGUUUUUGGACCCAACACCCCUCUUUCACUGGACAGAAACCCACCGAGAAAACCCGAUUUCGAGCUCCGAAGUCGAAGACAGAAAUUAGGUCUUGGACGAUAACUAAAACUAUUAAGCUUAGAAGAAGAAUUAGGAAGAAAAUUGAAAGUAGGUUGACGGAGAAAGAACGCGGCAGCUGCCAUUUUCGGUUAGGUCUGAGAAAGCAGAGCAGAGGAGGCGGAAAUGAGAAGAGGAGGAGCAGACAAGAAUCACCAUUAGAAUAUGUAGUGAAGUUUGAUAGAUACAAUUAAUUUUCAGUUGCUAUGGAGUAGAUUGUUUGGCUGAGAAUAAUCCAAAUGUAGCAUCUGGGGAAGAGACGUAAUGUCGAUGCUUUUUUCUGUGAAUAGAAAUAGCAGUUGCGAGAAGGACUCAGAUUACAGACGCUGACAGGUUGACCGACUGGGAACAGUAUCGGAUCGUCGUCUUCUUCAUCUAAUCAAAUCACA